This 223-nucleotide long non-coding RNA is filed under the name Salvia miltiorrhiza (redroot sage). Its description in RNAcentral is "long non-coding RNA (SMIL_LNC002349)". The record is from RNAcentral. Lineage: Eukaryota; Viridiplantae; Streptophyta; Magnoliopsida; Lamiales; Lamiaceae.
GCUGCUGCUGCUGCUGUCAACUGUUGCUGUGGGUUGGGUGUUGUUGUGGGCUGGGCCAGGAAACAAUUAGUUGGGCCAAGAAUAAAAUUCUGUUGGGCCAAAAAUAAAAGCCCAGUGGAGUUGGUCCAAAAUAAUAGUUUGGGCCCCAAACACCACCCCAAAGCACCAAUUGCCAAGAUCCAAGUCCUUGGCCGCGGCCCGUACCCGACCCGCCCGUCCGGCG